AAAUAAAGGCAACAGUAGAAUACCGCUGUUCAAAACUCAUAAAUCCAUGGACAAAAAACAAAAUCGGGGUAACAAAAUAAAACCAAGGAAACGCAUUAAAUAUAAGAGGAGAACAACGACACAACACUGAAAUGUAACACACACAGAAACGGACCAAGCAUCAGACAAAAUCCCACGAGAAUAACAAAUAUAACAUCAAAACCAAUUACAUGAAUUUGGGAUAGACAAGAACCGUGACACGUCUUAUCGCAAUGUGAAUUUACACUAAAAAAUAAGAGAAAACAAACGACGCAACGUUAAAAUGUUACACACACAGAAACGAACAAUAAUAUAACAA
RNAcentral lists this long non-coding RNA (337 nucleotides) under Mytilus galloprovincialis (Mediterranean mussel). Lineage: Eukaryota; Metazoa; Mollusca; Bivalvia; Mytilida; Mytilidae. The record is from RNAcentral.